UACGUAGGUGCAAGCGUUGUCCGGAUUUACUGGGCGUAAAGGGCGCGUAGGCGGGAUGGCAAGUCAGAUGUGAAAUUUAUGGGCUUAACCCAUAAACUGCAUUUGAAACUGUCGUUCUUGAGUAUCGGAGAGGCAAGCGGAAUUCCUAGUGUAGCGGUGAAAUGCGUAGAUAUUAGGAGGAACACCAGUGGCGAAGGCGGCUUGCUGGACGACAACUGACGCUGAGGCGCGAAAGCGUGGGGUGCAAACA
This 250-nucleotide ribosomal RNA is filed under the name uncultured prokaryote. RNAcentral describes it as "partial 16S ribosomal RNA". It matches the Rfam family "Bacterial small subunit ribosomal RNA", at positions 524 to 774 of the family's 1533-position model. The record is from RNAcentral.